GCCCCGGUAGCUCAGCGGUUAGAGCGCACGGCUGUUAACCGUGAGGUCGCCAGUUCGAUCCUGGCCCGGGGCG
This 73-nucleotide transfer RNA is filed under the name Candidatus Woesearchaeota archaeon. RNAcentral's name for it is "tRNA-Asn". It matches the Rfam family "tRNA". From Rfam's summary of the family: Transfer RNA (tRNA) molecules are approximately 80 nucleotides in length. Their secondary structure includes four short double-helical elements and three loops (D, anti-codon, and T loops). Lineage: Archaea; Nanobdellati; Candidatus Woesearchaeota. The record is from RNAcentral.